RNAcentral lists this ribosomal RNA (459 nucleotides) under uncultured bacterium. Its description in RNAcentral is "partial 16S ribosomal RNA". It matches the Rfam family "Bacterial small subunit ribosomal RNA", at positions 338 to 795 of the family's 1533-position model. The record is from RNAcentral.
CCUACGGGUGGCAGCAGUGAGGAAUAUUGGUCAAUGGGCGGGAGCCUGAACCAGCCAAGCCGCGUGAGGGAAGAAGGUACUGCGUAUCGUAAACCUCUUUUGUCAGGGAACAAAUGCGGGGACUAGUCCCCGGAUGAGGGUACCUGAACAAACAGCAUCGGCUAACACCGUGCCAGCAGCAGCGGUAAUACGGGGGAUGCGAGCGUUAUCCGGAUUUAUUGGGUUUAGAGGGUGCGCAGGCGGCCUGUUAAGUCAACGGUAAAAGCCAGGGGCUAAACCCCGGAGCGACGUUGAAACUGGCGGGCUAGAGUUGGAGAGAGGUACGCGGAAUGCGCGGUGUAGCGGUGAAAUCCGUAGAUAUCGCGCAGAACCCCGAUUGCGAAGGCGACGUACCGGCACCACACUGACGCUGAGGCACGAAAGCGUGGGUAUCGAACAGGAUUAGAUACCCCAGUAGUC